RNAcentral lists this ribosomal RNA (253 nucleotides) under uncultured bacterium. RNAcentral's name for it is "partial 16S ribosomal RNA". It matches the Rfam family "Bacterial small subunit ribosomal RNA", at positions 524 to 776 of the family's 1533-position model. The record is from RNAcentral.
UACAGAGGGGGCGAGCGUUGUUCGGAAUUACUGGGUGUAAAGCGCGUGUAGGCGGCAGGCCAAGUCGGUGGUGAAAGCGCCCGGCUCAACUGGGCGAGGUCCAUGGAAACUGGUCAGCUGGAGGACGGUAGAGGCGAGUGGAAUUCCCGGUGUAGUGGUGAAAUGCGUAGAGAUCGGGAGGAACACCUGUGGCGAAGGCGGCUCGCUGGGCCGGUCCUGACGCUGAAACGCGAAGGCGUGGGGAGCGAACGGG